GAUGAACGCUAGCGGCAGGCUUAAUACAUGCAAGUCGUACGGGAUCCGAGGUAGCAAUACUUUGGUGAGAGUGGCGCACGGGUGCGUAACACGUAUGCAACCUACCUUUAACCGGGACACAACCUCGAGAAAUUGAGGCUAAUAUCCCAUAACACUGCGAGAUGGCAUCAUUUUGCAGUUAAAACUCCGGUGGUUAUUGAUGGGCAUGCGCGACAUUAGCUAGUUGGUAAGGUAACGGCUUACCAAGGCUUUGAUGUUUAGGGGUCCUGAGAGGGUGAUCCCCCACACUGGUACUGAGACACGGACCAGACUCCUACGGGUGGCAG
Molecule: ribosomal RNA, 326 nt
Filed under: uncultured Bacteroidota bacterium
Lineage: Bacteria; Pseudomonadati; Bacteroidota
Description: bacterial SSU rRNA
Rfam family: Bacterial small subunit ribosomal RNA
Source: RNAcentral